This 615-nucleotide long non-coding RNA is filed under the name Pan troglodytes (chimpanzee). RNAcentral describes it as "lincRNA". Lineage: Eukaryota; Metazoa; Chordata; Mammalia; Primates; Hominidae. The record is from RNAcentral.
AAACAUUCCAAGCCCCGUCCUUUUGUGCAGGCAUCUCGCUGUCUGCGCUGGGCACGGAGCGGCGCGCGCGCGCCCGUCUUUCCCUCGGCGGCCCCCCGCGGCUGGGACCCGGGCCGGCAGACAGGCCAUCCAUCAUCCGCCCUCCUCCCGCGGAGCGCCGCAGCCGCCGCGGCCAAUCCGGCGGCAGGUGGGGCCGCACCUGCGGGACGGCCCGCCGCUUCCCUCCGCUCUCUUCGCCGCGCCUCGCGUGCUAGCGGUGCCCUUGAGAGCCACUGCGUUCUCCAAGGCCAGAACGGGACAGUUGACGAUGGUCGUACUUCUCCAUGUUCUGAGACCAGUUUAAACAAAAACAAAAACCAGACAACAACCUUGCAAGGGAAAGAAUUCAGAGUAAAUAAACAGUCUUUUUCUGGGAAGUAAAGUAUUUCCCUAAGAUGGAGAAAUUGAGAUGAGAGCUCAUCCACAAGAUUACCCAUCAAUGAGCACCAAUAGCAACCAAAUCCACUAGAAGACUGGGAGCUUUUAAGUCAAGACACUUACAUCAGUAUCAUCAUUCCAAGAAGCGGUAUCCAAGUUGUUUUAUCAAAAGUGUGCAUGGGAGGUAAGAGUUGGGAA